Erinaceus europaeus (western European hedgehog) is the source of this 281-nucleotide non-coding RNA. The record is from Rfam. NCBI's taxonomy places the organism in Eukaryota, Metazoa, Chordata, Mammalia, Eulipotyphla, Erinaceidae.
GUGAGAGCGAUCUGGCUGCGACAUCUGUCACCCCAUUGAUCACCAGGGUUGAUUAGGUUGGUCUGGCUGGCUGGGUGGGUGUCCCCUUCCUCCCUCACUACUCCAUGUGUGUCUCUCCUGAAGCUGUACGCUCGGUCAAAGAGGACGGUCUUCCCCGAUUAGAGAUGGAUCAGGCUUCGGCCGAGGGUAUAGCUGCGCUCCCCUGCUAGAACCUCUGAACAAGCUCUCAAGAUAUGCAUCUAUAAAAAAAAAUAAUAAGUAACUUAUGAUCCAGCAGUGCU